AAACUAAGAUGGUGGGUUAUGAACCUGCGUGU
This 32-nucleotide non-coding RNA is filed under the name Mus musculus (house mouse). Lineage: Eukaryota; Metazoa; Chordata; Mammalia; Rodentia; Muridae. The record is from RNAcentral.